GUAGGUGGCAAGCGUUGUCCGGAAUUAUUGGGCGUAAAGCGCGCGCAGGCGGUUCUUUAAGUCUGACGUGAAAGCCCACGGCUCAACCGUGGAGGGUCAUUGGAAACUGGAGAACUUGAGUACAGAAGAGGAAAGCGGAAUUCCACGUGUAGCGGUGAAAUGCGUAGAGAUGUGGAGGAACACCAGUGGCGAAGGCGGCUUUCUGGUCUGUAACUGACGCUGAGGCGCGAAAGCGUGGGGAGCAAACAGGGAUUAGAUACCCUGGUAGUCCACGCCGUAAACGAUGAGUGCUAAGUGUUAGGGGGUUUCCCGCCCCUUAGUGCUGCAGCUAACGCAUUAAGCACUCCGCCUGGGGAGUACGGCCGCAAGGCUG
This 373-nucleotide ribosomal RNA is filed under the name uncultured organism. RNAcentral describes it as "partial 16S ribosomal RNA". It matches the Rfam family "Bacterial small subunit ribosomal RNA", at positions 527 to 896 of the family's 1533-position model. The record is from RNAcentral.